Molecule: unclassified non-coding RNA, 359 nt
Filed under: plant metagenome
Also listed under: 1 other name
Description: partial contains 5.8S ribosomal RNA, internal transcribed spacer 2, and large subunit ribosomal RNA
Rfam family: 5.8S ribosomal RNA (bases 1-105)
Source: RNAcentral
GAAAUGCGAUAAGUAAUGUGAAUUGCAGAAUUCAGUGAAUCAUCGAAUCUUUGAACGCACCUUGCGCCCGUUGGUAUUCCGACGGGCAUGCCUGUUUGAGUGUCGUGAACAACCUCAACCUUGAUUGGUUUUACUAAUCAAGGCUUGGAUUUGGGUGUUGCUGCUGCAAAGUGGCUCGCCUUAAAACUAUUAGCUGGACUUGUCUAUGACUUGGUUCGACUCGAUGUAAUAAGUAUUCAUCGGGGACAGGGUAACACCUGGCCAAGGCUUGAUGCCGUCUGCUUCUAAUCAUGUUCUCACUAUGAGACGCUACUUUACUGUGUGGCCUCAAAUCAGGUAGGAUUACCCGCUGAACUUAA